Molecule: non-coding RNA, 407 nt
Filed under: Callithrix jacchus (white-tufted-ear marmoset)
Lineage: Eukaryota; Metazoa; Chordata; Mammalia; Primates; Cebidae
Description: Eukaryotic large subunit ribosomal RNA
Rfam family: Eukaryotic large subunit ribosomal RNA
Source: Rfam by way of RNAcentral
AUUAUUAAUAUGGGAAAGGAGGAGACAAAGAUUUUUUUAAUUUUCAGAUAAUAAGAUUUUAUGUAUAUGGAUGAGCCUGGAGGACGUUAUGUUAAGUGAAAUAAGUCAAGUACAGAAAGGUAAAUAUCACAUGUUCUCACUCGCAUAUGGAAGCUAAAAAAGCUUGAUCUCAUAGAAGUAGAAAGUAAAAUGUUCGUGAAGCCCCAAGGUGGGUGUUGACGUGAUGUGAUUUCUGCCCAGUGCUCUGAAUGUCAAAGUGAAGAAAUUCAAUGAAGCGUGGGUAAAUGGCAGGAGUAACUAUGACUCUCUUAAGGUAGCCAAAUGCCUCAUCAUCUAAUUAGUGAUGCUCAUGAAUCACUGUCCCUACCAACUAACCAGCAAAACCACAGCCAAGGGAACAGGCUUGG